Molecule: ribosomal RNA, 515 nt
Filed under: uncultured bacterium
Lineage: Bacteria
Description: bacterial SSU rRNA
Rfam family: Bacterial small subunit ribosomal RNA
Source: RNAcentral
UAGUCCACGCCGUAAACGUUGUGUGCUUGGUGUGGGAGGAUUCAACCCCUUCCGGAUCGUAGCUAACGUGUUAAGCACACCGCCUGGGGACUACGGCCGCAAGGCUAAAAACUCAAAAGGAAUUGACGGGGGCCCGCACAAGCGGUGGAGCAUGUGGCUUAAUUCGAGGCAACGCGAAGAACCUUACCCGGGUUUGACAUAUAACUGCCGGCCUGUGAAAGCAGGCUUUCCUUCGGGACAGUUAUACAGGUGCUGCAUGGCUGUCGUCAGCUCGUGUCGUGAGAUGUUCGGUUAAGUCCGGCAACGAGCGCAACCCGUGUUGUUAGUUGCUACCAGGUAAUGCUGGGCACUCUAACGAGACUGCCCGUGUUAAGCGGGAGGAAGGCACGGACGACGUCAAGUCAGUAUGGCCCUUAUAUCCGGGGCUGCACACGUGCUACAAUGGCCGGUCCAAUGAGUGGCGAUAUCGCGAGGUAGAGCAAAUCUCCAAAGCCGGCCCCAGUUCAGAUUGCAGU